CUGCAGAGAGGCCCCCAUCCUGCUGAUUGUGAGCUCGUGGGUCAGGAGAUGGCUCCGUCAGUCACAGCAGCCUCUUGGGGGCAACGAACAAAGACCCAUUUGCAACGGCGCCCUGACUGAGGAGCCAUUCACAACACGGGCCCCAAUUCUUACAAUGUCUGUGGGAGGCAGCCUGGCAGUACUUGCCUCUCUGUCAACCCAUUUAUAGAUAAAGAGGCCCUGAUAGGAAAAAAAGACUUGCCCAAGGUGUGGCGGCCAGCGUCACUGGGAUAAAGUCAAGGUGUCGGCAAGGCUGGUUCUUCCUGAGGCCUCUAGGGAAGAAGCUGAUCCUCACCACCUCUGGCUUCCAGAGUCUGCUAGCAUUCCCUGGCUUGUGGCCACAUCACUCCAGUGUCUGCUUCUACUGUCUCCUCACUUUCCACCUCUCCAAUCUGCUGCCCCGCCUCCUCUUAUAAGACCCUGAUGCCUGCCUCGGGCCCAUCUGGAUAAUCGAGAAUAAUCUCCCCAUCUCAAAAUCCUUAAUGUAAUCACUCCUGCAAAUUCCCCUUUGCCGUGUCGGGUAACAU
This is a long non-coding RNA of Bos taurus (domestic cattle), 566 nucleotides long. Lineage: Eukaryota; Metazoa; Chordata; Mammalia; Artiodactyla; Bovidae. The record is from Ensembl.